RNAcentral lists this transfer-messenger RNA (360 nucleotides) under Armatimonadota. RNAcentral's name for it is "RGIG10368 sp017958015 Standard tmRNA". It matches the Rfam family "transfer-messenger RNA". Rfam says of the family: Bacterial tmRNA, also known as 10Sa RNA or SsrA, is named for its dual tRNA and mRNA-like properties. RNAcentral also lists the same sequence under 1 other name. The record is from RNAcentral. Lineage: Bacteria; Bacillati.
GGGGACGAUUGGUGUCGACGGGGAAGCUUGUCGGCAUGAAUUGCGGGUCGAGGCGCCGCUGGCCUCGUAAAAAGCGGCAACAAAAAUAAACGCGAACACUAACAGUUACGCUCUCGCGGCCUAAUUAGGCCCGCGCAUCCCGUCGCUUCCAUGUCGAUACGAAGCGGCAUCGGGGUGUCAUCCUUUAUCGACUUGCCCGCCCAGUUAAGUCCGGCAACAGGCGGGGACUCCUUUACGGACUCGAACCGACGGAAUUUCGUCCGCGGAAGUCAUCGGUUCUAAACCAAAUCGCGGAAUAUGCCUGUAGAAGUUCAUGUCUCACUUCUUCGGACGAGGGUUCAAGUCCCUCCGUCUCCACCA